ACCAAACGCCGUCGUUUCAGUUAUCACCUCUCAUUUUCCGAUAACACCGGCAAACCUUUGAAAACUCGCCGGAGACGUUAAAUACCUAUUACCGGCGACGAAAAACAGUCGAGGAAUUAAAUUAGCUCAUCAUCUCCGACGACAAUGGAAACAGAAGUUCAAUCUAAUUUCACUUAUAUGGGAAGAACAUUUACCGGUCUCGGAAUUAAUGAAUCUUCGUCUGCUUUCAGCGACUGCAAUAGCGAUAGAUCCGGUGAGUUUCCGACGACUUCUUCUCAAAGCCGGCGGUUAUUAAUUGCGUGUGCGUCGGAUAAUUAUAACUCCGAUGAAUUGAUUCAACAAC
RNAcentral lists this long non-coding RNA (343 nucleotides) under Solanum lycopersicum (tomato). RNAcentral's name for it is "long non-coding RNA (SLYC_LNC001076)". The record is from RNAcentral. Lineage: Eukaryota; Viridiplantae; Streptophyta; Magnoliopsida; Solanales; Solanaceae.